UGCUUCCAUUAUUCUUCCUCACGAUUUCAUAGAAGAGUAAUACGAAAAAAAUUCAGAUCUGCAAUUCAUUCAUCCACGUUUCUUCUUCUUUCAAGCAGCUGUCACAAGAGCCGCAAGGUUCAUUUCACCGCCCCAUCAAACGUCCGUCGUGUGUUGAUUAGCGCACCUCUCUCUGGUGACCUUCGUUCAAAGUACAUCGUGCGUUCUCUUCCCGUUCGUAAGGAGGAUGAAGUUCAGGUUGUGAGAGGAACCUUCAAGGGACGUGAAGGGAAGGUUGUGCAAGUUUAUCGCAGGAAAUGGGGAGAUGGUUGUUGGGUUUGAUGAAGUUACUGGGUUAA
RNAcentral lists this long non-coding RNA (338 nucleotides) under Medicago truncatula (barrel medic). RNAcentral's name for it is "lncRNA gene27466". Lineage: Eukaryota; Viridiplantae; Streptophyta; Magnoliopsida; Fabales; Fabaceae. The record is from RNAcentral.